Molecule: ribosomal RNA, 254 nt
Filed under: uncultured bacterium
Lineage: Bacteria
Description: partial 16S ribosomal RNA
Rfam family: Bacterial small subunit ribosomal RNA
Source: RNAcentral
UACGUAGGGCGCGAGCGUUAAUCGGAAUUACUGGGCGUAAAGCGUGCGCAGGCGGUCUGUUAAGACCGAUGUGAAAUCCCCGGGCUUAACCUGGGAACUGCAUUGGUGACUGGCAGGCUUUGAGUGUGGCAGAGGGAGGUAGAAUUCCACGUGUAGCAGUGAAAUGCGUAGAGAUGUGGAGGAAUACCGAUGGCGAAGGCAGCCUCCUGGGCCAACACUGACGCUCAUGCACGAAAGCGUGGGGAGCGAACAGG